UAGGGAAUCUUCCACAAUGGACGCAAGUCUGAUGGAGCAACGCCGCGUGAGCGAAGAAGGUCUUCGGAUCGUAAAACUCUGUUGUUAGAGAAGAACAAGGAUGAGAGUAACUGUUCAUCCCUUGACGGUAUCUAACCAGAAAGCCACGGCUAACUACGUGCCAGCAGCCGCGGUAAUACGUAGGUGGCAAGCGUUGUCCGGAUUUAUUGGGCGUAAAGCGAGCGCAGGCGGUUUCUUAAGUCUGAUGUGAAAGCCCCCGGCUCAACCGGGGAGGGUCAUUGGAAACUGGGAGACUUGAGUGCAGAAGAGGAGAGUGGAAUUCCAUGUGUAGCGGUGAAAUGCGUAGAUAUAUGGAGGAACACCAGUGGCGAAGGCGGCUCUCUGGUCUGUAACUGACGCUGAGGCUCGAAAGCGUGGGGAGCA
Molecule: ribosomal RNA, 423 nt
Filed under: uncultured bacterium
Lineage: Bacteria
Description: bacterial SSU rRNA
Rfam family: Bacterial small subunit ribosomal RNA
Source: RNAcentral